GACGAACGCUGGCGGCGUGCUUAACACAUGCAAGUCGAACGGAAAGGCCCUGCUUGCAGGGUACUCGAGUGGCGAACGGGUGAGUAACACGUGGGUGAUCUGCCCUGCACUUCGGGAUAAGCCUGGGAAACUGGGUCUAAUACCGGAUAGGCGCCAUUUUUAGUGUGAUGGUUGGAAUGUUUUUUCGGUGUAGGAUGAGCUCGCGGCCUAUCAGCUUGUUGGUGGGGUAAUGGCCUACCAAGGCGGCGACGGGUAGGCGGCCUGAGAGGGUGGACGGCCACAAUGGGACGGAGAUACGGCCCAGACUCCUACGGGAGGCAGCAGGGGGGAAUAUUGCACAAUGGGCGCAAGCCUGAUGCAGCGACGCCGCGUGGGGGAUGACGGCCUUCGGGUUGUAAACUCCUUUCGCUAGGGACGAAGCUUUUUGUGACGGUACCUAGAUAAGAAGCACCGGCUAACUACGUG
This 465-nucleotide ribosomal RNA is filed under the name uncultured bacterium. Its description in RNAcentral is "partial 16S ribosomal RNA". It matches the Rfam family "Bacterial small subunit ribosomal RNA", at positions 28 to 507 of the family's 1533-position model. The record is from RNAcentral.